This 24-nucleotide non-coding RNA is filed under the name Mus musculus (house mouse). The record is from RNAcentral. Lineage: Eukaryota; Metazoa; Chordata; Mammalia; Rodentia; Muridae.
UGUUGUACUGAGGAUCCGCUUCGU